Molecule: ribosomal RNA, 486 nt
Filed under: soil bacterium S85M1
Lineage: Bacteria
Description: bacterial SSU rRNA
Rfam family: Bacterial small subunit ribosomal RNA
Source: RNAcentral
UUAACACAUGCAAGUCGAACGGGCUUCUUCGGAAGUCAGUGGCAGACGGGUGAGUAACACGUGGGAACGUGCCCUUCGGUUCGGAAUAACUCAGGGAAACUUGAGCUAAUACCGGAUACGCCCUUUUGGGGAAAGGUUGACUGCCGAAGGAUCGGCCCGCGUCUGAUUAGCUUGUUGGUGGGGUAACGGCCUACCAAGGCGACGAUCAGUAGCUGGUCUGAGAGGAUGAUCAGCCACACUGGGACUGAGACACGGCCCAGACUCCUACGGGAGGCAGCAGUGGGGAAUAUUGGACAAUGGGCGCAAGCCUGAUCCAGCCAUGCCGCGUGAGUGAUGAAGGCCUUAGGGUUGUAAAGCUCUUUUGUCCGGGACGAUAAUGACGGUACCGGAAGAAUAAGCCCCGGCUAACUUCGUGCCAGCAGCCGCGGUAAUACGAAGGGGGCUAGCGUUGCUCGGAAUCACUGGGCGUAAAGGGCGCGUAGGCGG